AUUCCAUGAUGGGGACAUUCUAGGAUGUAGUCUUGGAAGCGCUCCCAUACCUCUGGAAUGGAUUCAUCAUAUUGUUGCUGAAAACUUGUAAUCUUUCCACAGAGAGA
Molecule: small nucleolar RNA, 107 nt
Filed under: Sorghum bicolor (sorghum)
Lineage: Eukaryota; Viridiplantae; Streptophyta; Magnoliopsida; Poales; Poaceae
Description: Plant small nucleolar RNA R71
Rfam family: Plant small nucleolar RNA R71
About the family: R71 is a member of the C/D box family of snoRNAs containing the C (UGAUGA) and D (CUGA) box motifs. Multiple nearly identical copies of this snoRNA have been identified in Arabidopsis, and it is thought to function as a 2'-O-ribose methylation guide for 18S ribosomal RNA.
Source: Rfam by way of RNAcentral